Molecule: ribosomal RNA, 1281 nt
Filed under: Salmonella enterica subsp. enterica serovar Typhimurium
Lineage: Bacteria; Pseudomonadati; Pseudomonadota; Gammaproteobacteria; Enterobacterales; Enterobacteriaceae
Description: partial 23S ribosomal RNA
Rfam family: Bacterial large subunit ribosomal RNA
Source: RNAcentral
CCGGUUCACUUUAACACUGAGGCGUGACGACGAGGCACUACGGUGCUGAAGCAACAAAUGCCCUGCUUCCAGGAAAAGCCUCUAAGCAUCAGGUAACACGAAAUCGUACCCCAAACCGACACAGGUGGUCAGGUAGAGAAUACCAAGGCGCUUGAGAGAACUCGGGUGAAGGAACUAGGCAAAAUGGUGCCGUAACUUCGGGAGAAGGCACGCUGACACGUAGGUGAAGUGAUUUACUCAUGGAGCUGAAGUCAGUCGAAGAUACCAGCUGGCUGCAACUGUUUAUUAAAAACACAGCACUGUGCAAACACGAAAGUGGACGUAUACGGUGUGACGCCUGCCCGGUGCCGGAAGGUUAAUUGAUGGGGUCAGCGCAAGCGAAGCUCCUGAUCGAAGCCCCGGUAAACGGCGGCCGUAACUAUAACGGUCCUAAGGUAGCGAAAUUCCUUGUCGGGUAAGUUCCGACCUGCACGAAUGGCGUAAUGAUGGCCAGGCUGUCUCCACCCGAGACUCAGUGAAAUUGAACUCGCUGUGAAGAUGCAGUGUACCCGCGGCAAGACGGAAAGACCCCGUGAACCUUUACUAUAGCUUGACACUGAACAUUGAGCCUUGAUGUGUAGGAUAGGUGGGAGGCUUUGAAGUGUGGACGCCAGUCUGCAUGGAGCCGACCUUGAAAUACCACCCUUUAAUGUUUGAUGUUCUAACGUGGACCCGUAAUCCGGGUUGCGGACAGUGUCUGGUGGGUAGUUUGACUGGGGCGGUCUCCUCCUAAAGAGUAACGGAGGAGCACGAAGGUUGGCUAAUCCUGGUCGGACAUCAGGAGGUUAGUGCAAUGGCAUAAGCCAGCUUGACUGCGAGCGUGACGGCGCGAGCAGGUGCGAAAGCAGGUCAUAGUGAUCCGGUGGUUCUGAAUGGAAGGGCCAUCGCUCAACGGAUAAAAGGUACUCCGGGGAUAACAGGCUGAUACCGCCCAAGAGUUCAUAUCGACGGCGGUGUUUGGCACCUCGAUGUCGGCUCAUCACAUCCUGGGGCUGAAGUAGGUCCCAAGGGUAUGGCUGUUCGCCAUUUAAAGUGGUACGCGAGCUGGGUUUAGAACGUCGUGAGACAGUUCGGUCCCUAUCUGCCGUGGGCGCUGGAGAACUGAGGGGGGCUGCUCCUAGUACGAGAGGACCGGAGUGGACGCAUCACUGGUGUUCGGGUUGUCAUGCCAAUGGCACUGCCCGGUAGCUAAAUGCGGAAGAGAUAAGUGCUGAAAGCAUCUAAGCACGAAACUUGCCCCGA